Camelina sativa (false flax) is the source of this 2344-nucleotide non-coding RNA. NCBI's taxonomy places the organism in Eukaryota, Viridiplantae, Streptophyta, Magnoliopsida, Brassicales, Brassicaceae. The record is from RefSeq and is a predicted model, not a curated record.
ACUUAAGAAGUAGCUUAUUCACCUUCCUCUAUAUAAAUACCCCAACAGGUUCUUCGUUCCAAAACAUAUCCAUUCCAUUACCAAAGUACAAAACAUAAACUCAUUCUCUGUCUCUUUCCUCUCAUCUUAAAUAUCUCUUUCCUAAUUUGUUUCUUUUCCCUCCAAAAGAAAACAAAUAGACUGAAAAAAUGGCAGUAGAUUCCAACCUCUCUUCGCCGUUAGGACCUCCAGCGUGUGAAAAGGACGCAAAAGCCCUCCGCUUCAUCGAGGAAAUGACCCGAAACGCAGACACCGUUCAAGAAAACCUUCUCGCCGAGAUUCUUGCUCGUAACGCAAACACCGAGUACCUACGCCGCUUCAACCUAGACGGCGCCACCGACCGUGAUACCUUUAAAACGAAGAUUCCAGUCAUUAGCUACGAAGAUCUUCAGCCGGAAAUCCAACGCAUUGCUGAUGGAGACCGCUCUCCCAUCUUAUCUGCCCAUCCCAUCUCUGAGUUCCUCACUAGCUCUGGAACCUCAGCCGGAGAGAGGAAGCUCAUGCCGACCAUCAGAGAAGAGCUUGAUCGUCGUCAACUUCUUUACAGUCUCCUCAUGCCUGUCAUGAAUUUGUAUGUGCCAGGUUUAGACAAAGGAAAAGGAUUGUACUUCUUGUUCGUUAAGUCCGAAACAAAGACACCGGGUGGGCUACCGGCUCGACCAGUCUUGACUAGUUACUACAAGAGUGAACACUUCCGGUCUCGACCAUACGACCCAUAUAACGUGUACACAAGUCCCAACGAAGCAAUACUUUGUCCCGACUCAUUUCAAAGCAUGUACACUCAGAUGCUCUGUGGCCUCCUUGACCGCCUCUCUGUCCUCCGCGUUGGCGCAGUCUUUGCCUCUGGUCUACUCCGUGCAAUUCGCUUCCUCCAGCUCCACUGGUCUCGUUUCGCCCAUGACAUCGAUUUUGGAUGUCUCGACUCCGAGAUAACUGACCGGUCUAUAAGACAAUGCAUGUCCGGAAUUCUUAAACCGGAUCCUGCCCUGGCGGAGUUCAUCCGUCAGGAGUGCAAGUCGGAAAAUUGGGAACGAAUCAUCACCAGAAUAUGGCCCAACACUAAGUACAUUGACGUCAUCGUAACUGGAGCCAUGGCUCAGUAUAUUCCAACGUUGGAGUACUAUAGCGGAGGUCUCCCGAUGGCUUGCACCAUGUACGCCUCCUCCGAGUGUUACUUUGGUUUGAACCUUAACCCAAUGAGCAAACCGUCAGAAGUCUCUUACACCAUCAUGCCCAACAUGGCCUACUUCGAGUUCAUCCCUCUCGGGGGCACCAAGGCUGUUGAACUCGUUGAUGUAAAGAUCGGUAAAGAGUAUGAACUUGUUGUUACCACUUACGCGGGUCUUUGUCGAUACCGAGUCGGUGACAUCCUCAGAGUCACAGGUUUCCACAACUCCGCACCUCAGUUUCAUUUCGUGAGGAGGAAAAACGUUCUCCUCAGCAUCGACUCGGACAAGACCGACGAGUCAGAGCUUCAAAAGGCCGUGGAGAACGCAUCGAGGCUGCUUCAUGAAGAGUGCGGGAGCCGCGUAGCCGAGUACACUAGCUACGCCGACACAAGCACGAUCCCCGGCCACUACGUCUUAUACUGGGAGUUGUUAGUGAGGGACGGGUCAAGGCAGCCAAGUCAUGAGACCCUGACUCGUUGCUGCCUUGAGAUGGAAGAGUCGUUAAACUCGGUUUACCGGCAAAGCAGAGUCGCGGACAACUCGGUUGGACCGUUGGAGAUUAGGGUGGUGAGAAACGGAACGUUCGAGGAACUGAUGGAUUACGCAAUCUCAAGAGGCGCAUCAAUUAACCAGUACAAGGUACCAAGGUGCGUUAACUUCACACCUAUUGUGGAGUUACUAGAUUCUAGGGUUGUGUCGGCGCAUUUUAGCCCAGCCUUACCGCAUUGGACGCCGGAGAGGAGGAGAAGAUAAGGACAGGCACAUGUUUUUUCCUUGGAGAUCUCGUGAAGUCAAAGGCUUCAAAUUAAUUAGCACUUUGGUCAUUUAGGACAAGAAAUCCUUACUAGAGAAGUUUUUAUAUUCCCAGGGACCAUGUCUACUUUGAUGGAAAUCAAUAUUGUCAUUCAAUUAGUAAAUUUGUUGGAAGAUUUGCGUUAUGAUGAACUUUGUAACUUCAUAGUUAAUUGAUAUGACUGAGACAUAUAUAGCAAAAUAUUAAUUGAACUUCGCCAAGUUGCCUACUUAGUUGCUGAACAGAGAAGAGAACCAACCAAUCAAUGAUUUUUAGUGCCCUUGUUGAGCUAUUGGCAAGGAAAAAUUAUGAGAGACUGUUGGGUUUCAGGCAAGUGUGCUCA